UUUGUUUUCCUCUAAUAUCUCA
This 22-nucleotide microRNA is filed under the name Zea mays. Its description in RNAcentral is "zma-miR2275d-3p". The record is from miRBase by way of RNAcentral. Lineage: Eukaryota; Viridiplantae; Streptophyta; Magnoliopsida; Poales; Poaceae.